GAGCAAUAAAAUGCCACACCAAAAAGCUUGAUUCUCAAUUAGUUCUAAUGUGAUUAUUGAAUUGUUCAGUCUUUAAAGCUUCAAUGCCCCAUUUCCAUUCUGUUUUUUGAGAUGUUAGUGAUUUAGUAAGGUAGGUUAGUACGUAUGCAGGAGCCAGAAAGAAGUGGGGUUGGGGAGCUGGUUUAGGAUCAUGCGUACUGGACUGGUCUUUCCAAGAGAAAUGCUGGCCAUUAACCAGUCCAAAGACAUAAUCGGGUCCUUCUGAACCUCAGGUGAAUGCAUACUCCAACAGCAUCUUUUGGGAAGAUCAGCCUUAACGUGCAUUUACCUCAUAUUUUUAGUCUCAUUUCUAAAAUUUGAGUUAGCACUGAUCCAGAGCCAUAAUCAGGUCGUUAUGAGCCUCAGGUGAACGCAUGCUCAUCUUUUGGGAAGAUCAACCUCAACCAGUCACAUUAUUUAUCUCAUGUCUAAAACUGGAUACUCCAACAAGCAGCAAUUCAAGAAUCUGCCAACCAUAAAACUCAUCAUGCCUGGCGCAAUCUCCGCUGGAAAUUCGAGCUAAUGUAGCAUUUGCAAUUAAGGAUGCGCUGGUCGAGAAAACUGUAACUUAUGCAAGCAAUUCUUCCAACAUGAUUUUUGUAGUUGCUUGCACGAAUUACUUUUGUCAAAGGUCUGGUUUAAAUUACAGGCCAUUGGCUCCUCAGUUGCUUUUCAGAUCUAUAGCAUAGUUAAAAACCAACAUUUUUCAGCCAAACUUUACCAUCAUGAGCUCUUCUACUCUCAUAGAAAGAUACCACCACAGUUCACUGGUUAAUGAGGAACUUAAAGAACAACUCACAUUCUUCCAUGGAUUGAUGAACCAGAACAGAAACAGAUAGAAAACCCAGUGCUUGUGUUUUUGUUACCAAUAGUCAUUAAAAGAGCACAUCCCAUUUUUAAAUUGGUGAAAACGGUUUGAGUCUCUCACAACAAUUUCCUUAUGAAGAAGAUCUGAUGCCAACUUCAUGAAGCUGUGACAAUCUACACAUAUUCGGAUAUUCUUUAUGAUUUUUAUUACACUUCUGUCAUGAUGCAGACUACCCUCAUUCAUCAUAGCAAACACCAAAGCUAGCUUCUCACUAUGAUGAUACAACUGCUCCUCUUUAUGCUCCUCCUCUAUGUCAUGCAACGCCAAGCUUGUUUCCGGCACAUAGCCUCUCCCCUUUAGCUGUCCAAUCAGUAAAUCGAGCCUGGUGUGCAUAUAGCCUCUCUUUGAGGAUGGCGUCUGCCUCCAGAUGCAAACUCAUGCACUCUGUUCCCAAUCUCAAUCCAGCUUAAACCAGUUUCCUUUCUUACUCUAGAGCAUUCCAUUUCUCUCCUAAUUACCCCAGCUUCACUGUAACUCCCUCCAGAACAAUAAAUGUUAGACAUUUGUACAUAACCUAAUGAAUUUCUGGGCUCCAACUCUUUCAGUUUAUCUGCCACUAACUUGGCCAGUUGUGUCUCACCGUGCUUCCUACAUGAGCCAAGCAGCGCACUCCAAACCACAGAAUCAGGCUCCAUAGGCAUUUUGCUUAUUAGCACCUUUGCCUCAACAACUCGGCCAACUCGGCCAAGAAUAUCAACCAUGCUUGCAUAAUGAUCUAGUUGUGGAAAAAUACCAUGAGUAUCAAGCAUUGAAUCAAAGAUUUUGAUACCUUCUUCCACCAUUCCAGCAUGGCUGCAUGCUGAAAGGAGAGCAAUUAUAGUUGCAGAAUCAGGAUGAACAUUCAUUUCAGAAAAGAGAUGUAAUGCCUCCUUAGCUUGACCAUGCAGAGCAUAAGCCUUCAGCAUUGAGUUCCAAGAAACUAAAUUACGAAAUCUCAUUUCAUCAAAAACUUUCUGGGAUAAGGAAACGGAGCCACAUCUUGCAUAAGCAUGGAUCAAGGCAUUUCCAAGCACGGCAUCAACCACAAGCCCAGCUUUAAUUACUUGUGAAUGAACAGCGUAGGCAUGUCUCUCAGUGCCAAGACCUGCACAAGCUUUUAACACAAUUGAAAAUGUAUACCGAUCUGGAGCUAAGCCUUCCCUAUGCAGUUGACAGAAAAGGAAGAGGGCUUCUUCAGGCUGCCGUUCUGCAAAUGCUGUUAUAAUGCCAGUCCAUGAAACAAUAUCACGAAAACACCCUGUCUCCAAGAAAAGCCUGUGACAAUCAGUAACCUCUCCGCCAAGAUCUGAAUAGGCUUUCACCAACGCAGUUGCAACUUCAAUUUGCAACACCAAGGCACUUUUUAAUACUAAGACAGUGUAACAGAAAACAACACUUAAAGACCCACAUGCAAACUAUCACUGUAGCUUUCACUCAAGGAAGACAAGACACUGACCAGCGUGGCACGAUCAAACCCAAUUCCAUCACUGUGCAUUUGGCUAAAAAGACUUACAGCUUUUGACCCGAGUUUCCGGAGCUGAAACCCUGCAAUCACUGAAUUCCAAGAAACAAGAUUACGAAACUCCAUUGUCUCAAACACUGUCGAAGCUUCAUCUAUAUCUCCACUAUCACUGCCACUGCUAUUGUAACACCUACAAUACAUGGAAAUAAGAGCAUUUCCCACGUAAAUACUAGCACCUAAACCGAUUUUCAAAGCAAGCGCAUGCACCUGCUUGCCAUGCUCAUAGUCACCACAAGUAAGCACACUUGUAAAAGCAAAUUCAUUCGGCCUGCAAUGCAUUAGCAUAUCAGAAAACAAACGAGAGCACUCACAGGCCUGCCCUUGUUGCGCGUACCCAGAUAUCAAAGCAGUCCAAGAAACUAAGUUUCUUUCUGGCAUUUGAUCGAACAGUUGCCGCGCGUACUUCAAGUCCCCGCAUUUCGCAUACAUGUUUAUGAGAUGAUUGGUUACGAACACGCUUGGUGAGUAGCUAUGAUUAUGGGAAAGCAUGUGUUGGUGCAAGUACAUGCCUUCUUGAAGGUAUCCAUGGCGGGCACAUGCAUGAAAAAGAGUGGCGUAGGUUUGCUGGGAGUACGGUAGCGGAGGUGGUGGUGAUGCACUGAAGAAGAGGGAGAGCGCUUCGUCAAUGCGGCCGCACGCGGAAAGGAUACGCACCUCGUUGAGAAUGCCGUUAGCUUUGGGUUCUGUGCUGCUAGAUUGAAGAAGACUGCUGGAGGUGAAGGUUCGGAGAGUGAAAUCCCAGGCGCGUAUUUUUGGUAGUGACAUUAACAAAGCUGGUGUCCUAGCUAGCAUAGCAUGGCGUGCAGUCAUGCAAAC
This 3224-nucleotide unclassified non-coding RNA is filed under the name Hevea brasiliensis (rubber tree). Lineage: Eukaryota; Viridiplantae; Streptophyta; Magnoliopsida; Malpighiales; Euphorbiaceae. The record is from RNAcentral.